Molecule: ribosomal RNA, 500 nt
Filed under: uncultured Chrysophyceae
Lineage: Eukaryota; Chrysophyceae
Description: SSU rRNA
Rfam family: Eukaryotic small subunit ribosomal RNA
Source: RNAcentral
GUGGUGGUGCAUGGCCGUUCUUAGUUGGUGGAGUGAUUUGUCUGGUUAAUUCCGUUAACGAACGAGACCCCCGCCUGCUAAAUAGUCGCACCAAUGCCUAGCAUUGGUCGUGUGCUUCUUAGAGGGACUUUUGGUGACUAACCAAAGGAAGUUGGGGGCAAUAACAGGUCUGUGAUGCCCUUAGAUGUCCUGGGCCGCACGCGCGCUACACUGACACACGCAUCGAGUCUUCCUUGUCCGAAAGGUCUGGGUAAUCUUGUAAAUGUGUGUCGUGAUAGGGAUAGAUUAUUGCAAUUAUUAAUCUUGAACGAGGAAUUCCUAGUAAAUGCAAAUCAUCAGUUUGCGUUGAUUACGUCCCUGCCCUUUGUACACACCGCCCGUCGCACCUACCGAUUGGAUGAUUCGGUGAAACUCUCGGACCGUAGCUUGGACACCUUCGGGUGACCUCGCUGUGGGAAGUUAUUAAACCUCAUCAUCUAGAGAAGUAAGUCGACAUUUGU